RNAcentral lists this ribosomal RNA (275 nucleotides) under uncultured bacterium. RNAcentral's name for it is "partial 16S ribosomal RNA". It matches the Rfam family "Bacterial small subunit ribosomal RNA", at positions 79 to 353 of the family's 1533-position model. The record is from RNAcentral.
CUAAGUUUGAUGGCGACCGGCGCACGGGUGAGUAACACGUAUCCAACCUGCCGAUGACUCGGGGAUAGCCUUUCGAAAGAAAGAUUAAUACCCGAUGGCAUAGUUCUUCCGCAUGGUAGAACUAUUAAAGGAUUUCGGUCAUCGAUGGGGAUGCGUUCCAUUAGGUUGUUGGCGGGUAACGGCCCACCAAGCCUUCGAUGGAUAGGGGUUCUGAGAGGAAGGUCCCCCCACAUUGGAACUGAGACACGGUCCAAACUCCUACGGGAGGCAGCAUG